ACGCUCGACACCUACUGGAGGCAGCAGUGGGGAAUAUUGCACAAUGGGGGAAACCCUGAUGCAGCGACGCCGCGUGAGCGAAGAAGUAUCUCGGUAUGUAAAGCUCUAUCAGCAGGGAAGAAAAUGACGGUACCUGACUAAGAAGCCCCGGCUAACUACGUGCNGCACGCGNGUAUNGNGGCGGNNGNAG
Molecule: ribosomal RNA, 190 nt
Filed under: uncultured bacterium
Lineage: Bacteria
Description: partial 16S ribosomal RNA
Rfam family: Bacterial small subunit ribosomal RNA
Source: RNAcentral